RNAcentral lists this ribosomal RNA (497 nucleotides) under uncultured bacterium. RNAcentral describes it as "partial 16S ribosomal RNA". It matches the Rfam family "Bacterial small subunit ribosomal RNA", at positions 28 to 507 of the family's 1533-position model. The record is from RNAcentral.
GACGAACGCUGGCGGCGUGCCUAAUACAUGCAAGUAGAACGCUGAAGAGAGAAGCUUGCUCUUCUGGGGUGAGUUGCGCACGGGUGAGUAACGCGUAGGUAACCUGCCUUGUAGCGGGGGAUAACUUUGGGAAACGAUAGCUAAUACCGCAUAACAAUGUGUGACACAUGUUUUUUAUUUGAAAGGCGCUCUUGCUCCACCACAAGGUGGACCUGCGUUGUAUUUGCUAGUAGGUGAGGUAAUGGCUCACCUAGGCGACGAUACAUAGCCGACCUGAGAGGGUGGUCGGCCACACUGGGACUGAGACACGGCCCAGACUCCUACGGGAGGCAGCAGUAGGGAAUCUUCGGCAAUGGGGGGAACCCUGACCGAGCAACGCCGCGUGAGUGAAGAAGGUUUUCGGAUCGUAAAGCUCUGUUGUAAGUGAAGAACGAGUGUGAGAGUGGAAAGUUCACACUGUGACGGUAGCUUACCAGAAAGGGACGGCUAACUACGUG